This is a long non-coding RNA of Passer domesticus (house sparrow), 272 nucleotides long. RefSeq lists it as uncharacterized. The record is from RefSeq and is a predicted model, not a curated record. The transcript is spliced from 3 exons. Lineage: Eukaryota; Metazoa; Chordata; Aves; Passeriformes; Passeridae.
CCUCACUGUAAUUAAGGAGAUCAGCAUCUGACACUGAUCCAGGGGAAAUCAGUCCAGGCUGCAGCAGAUUCAUUAUUGUAUCUCCAUUGUGAAAUCCCCUGCAAAUAAAAUAGCUAACAUCACCUCCUGAAAACUGCUGGUCUGCCUGCCAUAAAAGACUUCAGCCAUGGUCUGCAAAGUCAUACACUGGACACCUGGGCAUGUGCAAUGACCAACUGUGCAUACAGGAAUCCAUGAUGUACCUCAAAGGUUGGAUUUAUUGAGUAAAAUGA